This is a long non-coding RNA of Micropterus salmoides (largemouth bass), 649 nucleotides long. RefSeq lists it as uncharacterized. The transcript is spliced from 2 exons. The record is from RefSeq and is a predicted model, not a curated record. NCBI's taxonomy places the organism in Eukaryota, Metazoa, Chordata, Actinopteri, Centrarchiformes, Centrarchidae.
AUAUCCGGUUUUAUCCCGUUUCUCUCUGCUUGUGCGGAGUUGCACGGCGGUUGGGGGUUCUUCUUAUUCGUGCUAAAAACUUUACCGUUGGGAAACAAUCGGAAAAUAACGUUUUAAUUCUCCGAUUCACAGCUGCAGGCGCUCCCUCUCCAUAGUAGCUUUCUAGGCCUCCCUGUCUCAAACAAAUGGACACACACUAAAGGAAGCGUCUUGGCAAACAUGGGUAACGUUACCCAGAAUAAACCCAGCGAGGACACAAUGGGAGAUCGUAGUUUGCUCCAUGAACUCCUGAUGAGGCUGAUCGAGGUCGCAGGGGCCCGUGGCAGAGGCUGGUGCGACACCAGUGUGUGAUAGUGAACAAAGUGCAGCCAACUCGCGCUGUGAGCGGCGGAGUGGCAGCCAGAUUGUGACAGAGUAGAAACAGAUUUAUGGUGAGAGUUCUGUCUGAUCACAAGUGUUUUCAGUUAGUGAAUUUUCGGGUUUUUUUCACCUGCUGGUCUCAUCCAGCUCUGUUUCCGUCAGAUGGUCUGUCUGUAUCAGCCGAACAGUAACACAGGCUAAUGCACUGAGUAGCUAUAGGGCAGGCAAAAAUACUAUGAAUUCUAAUUUAAUGACCUUAGUCUCUUAAUAAACGACUUUUUUUUUUUUU